RNAcentral lists this ribosomal RNA (429 nucleotides) under Bacillota bacterium. RNAcentral describes it as "Firmicutes bacterium partial 16S ribosomal RNA". It matches the Rfam family "Bacterial small subunit ribosomal RNA", at positions 355 to 776 of the family's 1533-position model. The record is from RNAcentral. Lineage: Bacteria; Bacillati; Bacillota.
UAGGGAAUCUUCGGCAAUGGACGGAAGUCUGACCGAGCAACGCCGCGUGAGUGAAGAAGGUUUUCGGAUCGUAAAGCUCUGUUGUUAGAGAAGAACGUUGGUAGGAGUGGAAAAUCUACCAAGUGACGGUAACUAACCAGAAAGGGACGGCUAACUACGUGCCAGCAGCCGCGGUAAUACGUAGGUCCCGAGCGUUGUCCGGAUUUAUUGGGCGUAAAGCGAGCGCAGGCGGUUCUUUAAGUCUGAAGUUAAAGGCAGUGGCUUAACCAUUGUACGCUUUGGAAACUGGAGGACUUGAGUGCAGAAGGGGAAAGUGGAAUUCCAUGUGUAGCGGUGAAAUGCGUAGAUAUAUGGAGGAACACCGGUGGCGAAAGCGGCUCUCUGGUCUGUAACUGACGCUGAGGCUCGAAAGCGUGGGGAGCAAACAGG